CCCGGGGCCGACCGGCGGGUAGGGUAACGGUACGUACGUGCACUACCUAUCAGAGGGGAGAACCGGCGAAGUCGGCUAAUACCGCAUGAAGCAGGGGCCCCGCAUGGGGAGUAUUUGCUAAAGAUUCAUCGCUGAUAGAUAGGCAUGCGUUCCAUUAGGCAGUUGGCGGGGUAACGGCCCACCAAACCGACGAUGGAUAGGGGUUCUGAGAGGAAGGUCCCCCACAUUGGUACUGAGACACGGACCAA
RNAcentral lists this ribosomal RNA (248 nucleotides) under uncultured bacterium. RNAcentral describes it as "partial 16S ribosomal RNA". It matches the Rfam family "Bacterial small subunit ribosomal RNA", at positions 84 to 334 of the family's 1533-position model. The record is from RNAcentral.